UAGGCCACUGUUUGAUAUUAAAGUUUCCCUGCAGUCAUACUGGAGUAUUAUUACUCUGUAUUGCUUUGAAAACAAACGGUGAGACCUGUGUCCUCAGAGUACCUUUUAGGCUGUGUUGUUUGGACCAAACAAGCUUCCCAUUUUCUGGCAAAAUCAUCGUUUUGAUCAUUGUGAGACAAAAGGCUGAGAAUAGAUAGGUGACCAAUAUUCUAGCCUGUUUCCACUUUUACAAACAAAAUAAAAAAAUAAAAAAAAAACAACCAAAUUUCACUGUGGUUAUGAAUUUGGACCUCUAUGUAUAAAAUAAUUAUAAGGGUUAUAAGAAAUGUAAAUAUUACAUUUGAUGCCGUCACACCAAAAAAAAACCUUUUAAAAGUGCUGCAUGUAGUGGAGGUUAGUGAUAAGUUGAAAUAUUUUAUUUUUGGUGGACAUAUAAAAGGCAACCAUGGGCUUUCACACUUACUACAGUUUUUUUCUCUCUUUCAGUUGAAAAUUCAUGUUUUUAUUUUUUAUUAUUUUAUUUUGUGAACUUAAACAAGUUCAAGCUGCAAAAGUGACAUCUGUGUUUGUACAAGACAUCAGACAGCAUUUGAAUUUAUUAAUAUAAAGCAUUUUACACCUAGAAGAGCCUCAAAUAACCAAUGUAGUAAGCAGAUGGGAAAAUACAAUAAAUAGUCUGUCUUUCAAUGGCAUUUAUAAUGUUGCCUCAUUCAGCAAUGGCAGACAAAAUAGGCAAAUGGACUUUUUUUAUAGUGCUAGUUUAGGAAAGCUUCUUUGAAGCUGCUUUUAUUAGAAGCUCAUUUUUAACAUUUUUGGAUUGAGUAAAUAAUCAAGGGAUCUGCAUUUUGUGAUGCAAAAGUUGUAACCAUUUUAGGAAAAAAAAAAAAACAACGCUUAAUUUACAAGGGCUUUCAAAUGUAAAUAAAAGCCAAAAGUGUAUUCUGAAAUGGAGAACAUUUUAGUGAAAUCACUUCAACCCUAAGGCAUUUUAAUCUAAAUUUUGCCUUCAGAUGUACUUCUUCUAAUACACAAAACAAAAGGUCUAAGAGCAAAAAAUUAAAUGGGUUUGGGGUUUUCAGCUUGAAGGAGAGAAAAAUCAAGGACAAUUCAAAUUAAAAAUAUUUAAUUUUAGCAUUUCGACUAAGAGAAUGGAGAUAUGUUGUUCUGUCUUCAUUUACUUAAAAAAUGCUUAAAAUUUUUUGGAAAAUAAUCUAUGAACAUUACCAUAUGGAGGUCUUCACUUGGAAAGAAGCCACCAUUUACUGUUGCUGAGAGUUUGUAUCAUAAAGGAGAGUCUGAAGGAAUUUGAAAGCUUUUUGUAAGAUCAUUAGAAAUAUGACAGAAUUUUUUUUCCCAUGUUGGUUAGAAUUGCUUGGGUGUGAUUGACUCCAAAUUAAUUCCCAUCUUCUUUCAGCUCAGUUUGCUGUUUGGCAAGGUGUACCAUAUUUCUCCAAAAAAAAAAUGAUUUCAGCCAUGUGCUGUUCAAUUAAUUAAACCAAAAGGCCAUUAGACAGGCACGGCUCUGCUGUUGGACUGCCUAUGUAAAUGCCUCAAGGUUAUGAAAUCAAAAUCUAAAAACAACCAAUCAUAACCAACUAGGCUUUAAAUUACAGCCAAUAACAUAAUUUCCCUGCUUUGCUUCUGUACCUUCUCUACAUAAGUCUUGUCCCUGGCUCCUUCCUGUCUUUGGAGUGCCCCUAAUCACUUAGAGUUUGGUGUUGAGUCCAAUCAAUGUUUACUCAAACAAACUCUUAAAAUUUUUAAUACUCUUCAAUUUUUCUUUUAGCAGUGCUUACAGAAGGAUUAGUUAGAGAGUAAUUCCACUUAAUUUUUCUGUCUAUGAUAGAGAGUAAAAGUUGACUGUCCAGCUCAUGUCUUUCAGAUCCAGUUGAAAUCUGUCACAAUCAAAGGAAACAUUGGGAAGUGGUUGCAUUUCUGGAUGCUUCUCAUUAUACUUUUUUUUUUCUACUCUUUUUGGUGCAUCUCAUAAUGAGUUCUUUCAUUGCUUGUGGAUUUAAUAUAUUUUUUCUCCCAGUCCACAGAUAAACCCAGAUGAAAAGCCAUCAAACCAUGGACUAGGGAACAUCAUGCACAUUGUGUAGCAGAUGUGAUGACUCUAUCAGAAUAAAAGGGCAGUCUGGAUGCACACACCAUUCUCAUCUCAUGUGGUUGCCAAUGUAAAACAGUUUUAUGCAAUGUUUCAAAAGCUUGCUUAAUUCAAAAUAGGAACUAGCAUAAGUUCCUAGGUAGAUUUCCUUUUCAUGAAAGCCAUAUACAGUCACUGAAGGUACAACUUAGAUGAUCAAAUUUUAUCUUAUCAGAUCUCGGCUGCUCUAAGUAAUAGCACACUUUUGGGUAACUGGGAGAAUUCUUUUUUCUUGUUCUUGUGUACAGACAUUGUGAAUCUUUCCUUUGGGGAUAUUUUUCCUAGCAGAGAUGGGAAAAGGAGGCAAGAUGGAUGGUAGAGAAGGAACUAGACCUUUUUCUCAUCAAAAAGUAGAUAAAGUUGACCUUUGGAGCUGUUACCCAGAGUAAGGAUAAAAAGGGGGGGGGCAGGGGGAAAGGUGGCAGAAGGUGACAGAGUGGUCAUUAAAGGCUCUUUAUUAUGCCUUUAUUAUGUAUAUUACCUGUAACUCAGCCGUACAAAUUUAUAAGCAUGUCCUAAAACUGAGGGAGGUGAUGAGGGCUUUGGAAUUCAAGUUAAGACUUUGCUAUUUAUUUGGCAAGUCACUUAAUCUUUUCAUGCUGAAUUUUUCUUUCUUUUUUUUUUUUUUAAGGGCCACACUCGCAGCAAAUGGAGGUUCUCAGGCUAGGGGUCUAAUGGGAGCUGUAGCCGCCAGAUGGGAGUUCCUGUCGUGGCACAGUGGUUAACGAAUCCGACCAGGAACCAUGAGGUUGCAGGUUCGAUCCCUGGCCUUGCUCAGUGGGUUAAGGAUCCAGCAUUGCCAUGAGCUGUGGUGUAGGUCGCAGAUGCAGCUCACAUCCCACGUUGCUGUGGUUCUGGCAUAGGCCUGUGGCUACAGCUCUGAUUCGACCCCUAGGCUGGGAACCUCCAUAUGCCGCGGGAGCGGC
RNAcentral lists this long non-coding RNA (3072 nucleotides) under Sus scrofa (pig). Its description in RNAcentral is "lncRNA (ENSSSCG00030062627.1)". Lineage: Eukaryota; Metazoa; Chordata; Mammalia; Artiodactyla; Suidae. The record is from RNAcentral.